This 828-nucleotide ribosomal RNA is filed under the name uncultured bacterium. Its description in RNAcentral is "bacterial SSU rRNA". It matches the Rfam family "Bacterial small subunit ribosomal RNA", at positions 9 to 885 of the family's 1533-position model. The record is from RNAcentral.
GAGUUUGAUCCUGGCUCAGAACGUACGCUGGCGGCACGCCUAACACAUGCAAGUCGAACGAAGUAGCAAUACUUAGUGGCAGACGGGUGAGUAACAUGUAGGUAUCUGCCCUUUGGCCUGGAAUAACACGAGGAAACUUGUGCUAAUACCGGAUAAGUCUUUACGGAGAAAGCUCUAUGCACCAUUGGAUGAGCCUGCACUUGAUUAGUUUGUUGGUAGGGUAAUGGCCUACCAAGACUGUGAUCAAUAGCUGAUUUGAGAGGAUGAUCAGCCACAUUGGGACUGAGACACGGCCCAAACUCCUACGGGAGGCAGCAGUGGGGAAUCUUGCACAAUGGAGGAAACUCUGAUGCAGCGAUGCCGCGUGAGUGAAGAAGGCCCUUGGGUUGUAAAGCUCUUUCGUCGGGGAAGAAAAUGACUGUACCCGAAUAAGAAGGUCCGGCUAACUUCGUGCCAGCAGCCGCGGUAAUACGAAGGGACCUAGCGUAGUUCGGAAUUACUGGGCUUAAAGAGUUCGUAGGUGGUUGAAAAAGUUGGUGGUGAAAUCCCAGAGCUUAACUCUGGAACUGCCAUCAAAACUUUUCAGCUAGAGUAUGAUAGAGGAAAGCAGAAUUUCUAGUGUAGAGGUGAAAUUCGUAGAUAUUAGAAAGAAUACCAAUUGCGAAGGCAGCUUUCUGGAUCAUUACUGACACUGAGGAACGAAAGCAUGGGUAGCGAAGAGGAUUAGAUACCCUCGUAGUCCAUGCCGUAAACGAUGUGUGUUAGACGUUGGAAAUUUAUUUUCAGUGUCGCAGCGAAAGCGAUAAACACACCGCCUGGGGAGUACGA